RNAcentral lists this unclassified non-coding RNA (267 nucleotides) under uncultured fungus. RNAcentral describes it as "partial contains 5.8S ribosomal RNA, internal transcribed spacer 2, and large subunit ribosomal RNA". Lineage: Eukaryota; Fungi. The record is from RNAcentral.
AACGCACAUUGCGCCCGCCAGCAUUCUGGCGGGCAUGCCUGUCCGAGCGUCAUUUCAACCCUCAGGGCCCCCCUUCGCGGGGCGGGACCUGGUGUUGGGGGCCGGCCGCCCUGCGCGCGCCGCCCCCGAAAUGCAGUGGCGACCUCGCCGCAGCCUCCCCUGCGUAGUAGCACAACCUCGCACCGGAGCGCGGAGACGGUCACGCCGUAAAACGCCCAACUUUCAAGAGUUGACCUCGGAUCAGGUAGGAAUACCCGCUGAACUUAA